AUGAAGGACGAGCGUAAGGACUAGCAGGUGGUUUUCUCGACGGUGGUUUUCUAAGUUUACCACCGGCGCCUCUUUCUGUUGACGGAUACGGUGUGAUUUGAUCGGUGUUGUCCAUGAAUCGGAAUCGGAAUCGGAGUUGAGAGUAAAGUUAUUAACUGAUCGGAAAAGUUAAGAAAGAAAAAAAAAAAUAAAUAAAUAAAUAAAUAAGGUAAAGACGAAAACGAUGGAACUAGCGGCGGCACUGACCCACUUCCUUCCAAGGUCGAGUAGCCGCGGAUUUUUUUUAUUUUUUUUN
This 295-nucleotide long non-coding RNA is filed under the name Trifolium pratense (red clover). RNAcentral describes it as "long non-coding RNA (TPRA_LNC009290)". The record is from RNAcentral. Lineage: Eukaryota; Viridiplantae; Streptophyta; Magnoliopsida; Fabales; Fabaceae.